CAGUAGCCGCGGUAAUACGGGGGGGGCAAGUGUUAUUCGGAAUGACUGGGCGUAAAGGGCACGUAGGCGGUGAAAAGGGUGGAAAGUGAAAGUCGCCAAAACACUGGCGGGGUGCUUUCUUGACCAUUUCACUUGAGUGAGAUAGGGGAGAGUGGAAUUUCGUGUGGAGGGAUCAAAUCCUAAGAUAUACGAAGGAACGCCAACCGCGAAGGCAGCUCUCUGGGUCCCCACUUACGCUGGGGUGCGAAAGCAUGGGGAGCAAACAGGAUCAGAUACCCCCGUAGUCCCUGUCUCUUAUACA
This 301-nucleotide ribosomal RNA is filed under the name uncultured bacterium. RNAcentral describes it as "partial 16S ribosomal RNA". It matches the Rfam family "Bacterial small subunit ribosomal RNA", at positions 509 to 808 of the family's 1533-position model. The record is from RNAcentral.